This 508-nucleotide ribosomal RNA is filed under the name Neonectes natrix. Its description in RNAcentral is "partial 16S ribosomal RNA". The stretch from base 385 to 508 matches the Rfam family "Bacterial large subunit ribosomal RNA", at positions 2473 to 2597 of the family's 2925-position model. The record is from RNAcentral. Lineage: Eukaryota; Metazoa; Arthropoda; Insecta; Coleoptera; Dytiscidae.
GUCCUUUAGAUUUAAUAAUUUAAGGUCUAACCUGCCCACUGAUGUUUUAAAUGGCCGCAGUAAUUUGACUGUGCAAAGGUAGCAUAAUCAUUAGUUUUUUAAUUAAAAGCUUGUAUGAAUGGUUGGACGAGAUAUAAUCUGUCUCUAAAUAAUAAUUAGAAUUUAAUUUUUAAGUUAAAAAGCUUAAAUUAAAAUAAAAGACGAGAAGACCCUAUAGAUCUUUAUAAUAAAUUUUAUAAAUUUAUUUAUGAUUUAUUAAUUUUUUAUAGUUUUUAUUAUUUUAUUGGGGUAAUAAAAAGAUUUAAUUAAUUCUUUUUUAAUUUAAACAAAAAUAAUUGAUUAAUUGAUCCAUUUUUAGUGAAUGUAAGAUUAAGUUACCUUAGGGAUAACAGCGUAAUUUUUUUAGAGAGUUCAUAUCGAUAAAAAAGAUUGCGACCUCGAUGUUGGAUUAAAAAUUAAUUUGGGUGUAGAAGUUCAAAGGUUUGGUCUGUUCGACCAUUAAAUUUUU